GGAGAAUGCAGCCCUUCCCUCCGGCCGCUUUAUAAUGAGAGCCAGCACCGGGACCAUCCCGUGAGCACCCUGCUGCCCCCCGCGUUAUUGCCCAGCCGCUAGCGCCGGCGCCAUUGCAGCCCCCCGGCCGCGCCGCUGCCGUGAGCUGAGGAGGAUCCGCCCGGGACGAGCGGCCAUGGCCUCUGCAGCCGUCGGGAUUCGCCRCUGCGGCGCGCUCGGCCCGUGCGGAGCGGCCGUGGAGCCCCRCUAGGAGCGAGCAGCCCCGGUGCCAGGCCGGAGGCAAAGAGGAGCAAACCCACCAAUCACGCAAGAGCCGGGCAUCCGCAUCCGGAUCCA
This 336-nucleotide long non-coding RNA is filed under the name Apteryx rowi (Okarito brown kiwi). RNAcentral's name for it is "lncRNA (ENSARWG00000010532.1)". The record is from RNAcentral. Lineage: Eukaryota; Metazoa; Chordata; Aves; Apterygiformes; Apterygidae.